RNAcentral lists this ribosomal RNA (470 nucleotides) under Pusillimonas sp. E2-4. RNAcentral's name for it is "bacterial SSU rRNA". It matches the Rfam family "Bacterial small subunit ribosomal RNA", at positions 30 to 486 of the family's 1533-position model. Lineage: Bacteria; Pseudomonadati; Pseudomonadota; Betaproteobacteria; Burkholderiales; Alcaligenaceae. The record is from RNAcentral.
AUUGAACGCUAGCGGGAUGCUUUACACAUGCAAGUCGAACGGCAGCGCGAAGAAAGCUUGCUUUCUUUGGCGGCGAGUGGCGAACGGGUGAGUAAUAUAUCGGAACGUGCCCAGUAGCGGGGGAUAACUACGCGAAAGCGUGGCUAAUACCGCAUACGCCCUACGGGGGAAAGAGGGGGAUCGCAAGACCUCUCACUAUUGGAGCGGCCGAUAUCAGAUUAGCUUGUUGGUGAGGUAAAGGCUCACCAAGGCCACGAUCUGUAGCUGGUUUGAGAGGACGACCAGCCACACUGGGACUGAGACACGGCCCAGACUCCUACGGGAGGCAGCAGUGGGGAAUUUUGGACAAUGGGGGCAACCCUGAUCCAGCCAUCCCGCGUGUGCGAUGAAGGCCUUCGGGUUGUAAAGCACUUUUGGCAGGGAAGAAAAGGCGCUGGUUAAUACCUGGCGCCGCUGACGUACCUGCAGAA